Long non-coding RNA from Myotis daubentonii (Daubenton's bat), 1687 nucleotides. RefSeq lists it as uncharacterized. The record is from RefSeq and is a predicted model, not a curated record. NCBI's taxonomy places the organism in Eukaryota, Metazoa, Chordata, Mammalia, Chiroptera, Vespertilionidae.
UCCGCGACGCUGGCGGCGGCGGGGAGGGCACGGGCUCCGGGUGCCGGCCCGGGCCGCCUUGGUGCGGCCUGCGCUCCCCACCCACGGGGCCGUCUCGCACUCUCCUCUUCCCGUGACCGCUCCUCCACGCCCACCCCAGGCACCAUGUCCCCGGCCGCCUCCUUGGUUCCUGGGCAACGCGGGUUCCAGACAGAGCACAAAGCGGAGUCCAUUCUGGGCGAGCGGGGCUUGCCCGUGGGAGGCACACGCCUUCUGGCCGGCGCAGGCCUGGCGGUCAGGAAGUUGGACCCUGGAAUCGGAUUGCUGGCUCCGUAGCUAACUUCCAUUGCAUGUGGUCCAGGACCUCCAAGCAAAUUCUCUCUCUCGUGUUGCCGUUCCCACGGUUGUGUAAAUGACACCCACUCGUGAAGCUGUUGUGAAGAUUAAUUCAGAAAGUGUGUUAGCAAAGCAUGUAGUGCAAUGCCCGGCGCAUCACAGCCCCAUGAAGUGGUUUAAAUAGUCCCGAUUUUCAUGAAAACAACGAAGUUCAGAGAGUCUGAGAAUUGGCCAGCAUAUGUUGGGAUGAAGAUUUGAACCUGUGUCGGACCCCAGUACUCAAGCUUACAACCAGUACGCAAGACUCCCAAAGCCUCCCAUCUCUGCCACCUGAGCCUGCAGAGCUCCGUGUGAUCCACCAUCCAGGCCAGCAGCUCUUGAAUCACCAGUCCACAAAGUCUUGUUGGCGGAUCUUGUCCAUGGCGAUACUGUAGUCACUGAUGAAAGUCCCCUCGGCAUACCUGCGGCCUCGAGGUGUAGAGCCUCUGACCUUCGCGUGGACUCUGAGGGGCAGGGAGGGGAGAGAAACCAGGGUGCCGUGAAGGGGCAGGGUUGAGGGGGUUCACCAUCCCGGCAUACAUGACUGUCGCUGACAGGAGGCCAACAUGUAAAAAUGAACCAGCCCAUUUCCGGGGAGUCCGUUUCUGUGGAGACACCCUCUUGGCUCUGCGUUGAGCCCCUUGGACUUUAUUUCCAGCUGAAAGGCCCGCUUCCUGCUUCGUUAGUGUGUGUGGCUCUGGCUUCUGGGCGAAGAGGGAUCAGAGGGCCCCUGAUCCCCAAGGACUGGCUCCCAGUGCCUCCCUUGACUCCUCUCGCCCUGGCCACACCUGGUUUAGGCCUUUGGUUCCCAGUCACUACUGAUAGUAGUGAGCUCUUAUGCAUGAGGCAGGGCCUCGAAUAGCCCUUUAAUACAUACUCUCAUUCAGUCCUCACAACACCCCUAGCAGGCAGACGCUAGCCAUACCCCCUUUUUGUGAAUGAGGACACCAGGGAGCAGAGAGCAUAGGCGGCAGAUCCAGGGUCCGCCCCAGGCGGUCUGGGCCCAGGCCUGCGUUCAUAGCUUCUGCGUGACGUCUCUCCUGGUACAUGUCUCUGACAGCCGUGCCUCAGAUUUACAUCACUGGAUUUCCGUGAGCAUGGAGCUGUCCUUGCACCCAAGAACGCCCAACUCUUUCCUGAGAUAGGUCUCUCUUGGUCCCCAAAACACAGAGCCCCCCGCUGUGCUCAUGCCUCGCACUCUCUGCUUUUCCUCACAGAACUCACGACAGUUUGCAGCUCGCCUCGGUGGUUCUUUGUCUGUUUUCCCUUUGGCCCUGUGCGCCGUGAGGGCGGGAGGACUUUGUGGACCACUCUGCACAUAUAUCUCCUGCAC